GAUGAGAACGUAGCGAAAUGCGAUAAGUAGUGUGAAUUGCAGAAUUCAGUGAAUCAUCGAAUCUUUGAACGCACAUUGCGCCCCUUGGUAUUCCAUGGGGCAUGCCUGUUCGAGCGUCAUUUGUACCUUCAAGCUUUGCUUGGUGUUGGGUGUUUGUCCAUUCACUUGCAGAGGGACUCGCCUUAAAGUAAUUGGCAGCCAGUGUUUUGGUUUUGAAGCGCAGCACAAGUCGCGAUUCAAAGCUAUACGCCCGCUUCCACAAGCCUUUUUCACUUUUGACCUCGGAUCAGGUAGGGAUACCCGCUGAACUUAAGCAUAUCAAUAAGCGGAGGA
Molecule: unclassified non-coding RNA, 333 nt
Filed under: soil metagenome
Description: partial contains 5.8S ribosomal RNA, internal transcribed spacer 2, and large subunit ribosomal RNA
Rfam family: 5.8S ribosomal RNA (bases 5-119)
Source: RNAcentral